Small nucleolar RNA from Malus domestica (apple), 211 nucleotides. RefSeq annotates it as small nucleolar RNA U3. NCBI's taxonomy places the organism in Eukaryota, Viridiplantae, Streptophyta, Magnoliopsida, Rosales, Rosaceae. The record is from RefSeq and is a predicted model, not a curated record.
CCGACAUUACUUGAACAGGAUCUGUUUAAUAGGAUUGUACUUAUGUAUCCUUGAUCUCCAAGGAGAACAGAGGAACCCUAGCCUGGGGGAUUAAUCAUGACUCUGCUAUCAGAGCGUGAUUAACAGCUGAUAGUUCCUCGGUUCCAUCCAGCGGUAGAGGAUCGCUCUCGGUCGGUUUCACUGGCUGGGAUGGUCUCCCUUUUUUUAUUCU